Molecule: transfer RNA, 91 nt
Filed under: Gammaproteobacteria bacterium
Lineage: Bacteria; Pseudomonadati; Pseudomonadota; Gammaproteobacteria
Description: tRNA-Ser
Rfam family: tRNA
About the family: Transfer RNA (tRNA) molecules are approximately 80 nucleotides in length.
Source: RNAcentral
GGAGAGAUGACAGAGUGGUCGAAUGUGCUCGCUUGGAAAGCGUGUGUGUCCUAAUACGGCACCGAGGGUUCGAAUCCCUCUCUCUCCGCCA